UGCCAGACUCCUACGGGAGGCAGCAGUGGGGAAUAUUGCACAAUGGGGGAAACCCUGAUGCAGCGACGCCGCGUGAGCGAUGAAGUAUUUCGGUAUGUAAAGCUCUAUCAGCAGGGAAGAAAAUGACGGUACCUGACUAAGAAGCCCCGGCUAACUACGUGCCAGCAGCCGCGGUAAUACGUAGGGGGCAAGCGUUAUCCGGAUUUACUGGGUGUAAAGGGAGCGUAGACGGCAAUGCAAGCCAGAUGUGAAAGCCCGGGGCUCAACCCCGGGACUGCAUUUGGAACUGUGUAGCUGGAGUGUCGGAGAGGCAGGCGGAAUUCCUGGUGUAGCGGUGAAAUGCGUAGAUAUCAGGAGGAACACCGGUGGCGAAGGCGGCCUGCUGGACUGCGACUGACGUUGAGGCCCGAAAGCGUGGGGAGCAAACAGGAUUAGAUACCCUAGUA
RNAcentral lists this ribosomal RNA (446 nucleotides) under uncultured bacterium. Its description in RNAcentral is "partial 16S ribosomal RNA". It matches the Rfam family "Bacterial small subunit ribosomal RNA", at positions 329 to 792 of the family's 1533-position model. The record is from RNAcentral.